UGAAAAUCUUCAUUAUAUUUGCCAUGGUC
Molecule: non-coding RNA, 29 nt
Filed under: Rattus norvegicus (Norway rat)
Lineage: Eukaryota; Metazoa; Chordata; Mammalia; Rodentia; Muridae
Source: RNAcentral